This 673-nucleotide ribosomal RNA is filed under the name uncultured bacterium. RNAcentral describes it as "bacterial SSU rRNA". It matches the Rfam family "Bacterial small subunit ribosomal RNA", at positions 832 to 1504 of the family's 1533-position model. The record is from RNAcentral.
UUGAGGCGUGGCUUCCGGAGCUAACGCGUUAAGUCGACCGCCUGGGGAGUACGGCCGCAAGGUUAAAACUCAAAUGAAUUGACGGGGGCCCGCACAAGCGGUGGAGCAUGUGGUUUAAUUCGAUGCAACGCGAAGAACCUUACCUACUCUUGACAUCCAGAGAAUUCGCUAGAGAUAGCUUAGUGCCUUCGGGAACUCUGAGACAGGUGCUGCAUGGCUGUCGUCAGCUCGUGUUGUGAAAUGUUGGGUUAAGUCCCGCAACGAGCGCAACCCUUAUCCUUUGUUGCCAGCGAGUAAUGUCGGGAACUCAAAGGAGACUGCCGGUGAUAAACCGGAGGAAGGUGGGGAUGACGUCAAGUCAUCAUGGCCCUUACGAGUAGGGCUACACACGUGCUACAAUGGCGCAUACAAAGAGAAGCGAACUCGCGAGAGCAAGCGGACCUCAUAAAGUGCGUCGUAGUCCGGAUUGGAGUCUGCAACUCGACUCCAUGAAGUCGGAAUCGCUAGUAAUCGUAGAUCAGAAUGCUACGGUGAAUACGUUCCCGGGCCUUGUACACACCGCCCGUCACACCAUGGGAGUGGGUUGCAAAAGAAGUAGGUAGCUUAACCUUCGGGAGGGCGCUUACCACUUUGUGAUUCAUGACUGGGGUGAAGUCGUAACAAGGUAACCAAU